ACAUGCAGUCGGACGGGAUUUAGGAGCUUGCUUCUCAUGAGAGUGGCGCACGGGUGCGUAACACGUAUGUAACCUACCUUGUUCAGGGGGAUAGCCUCUCGAAAGAGAGAUUAACACCGCAUAAAAUCAAUUUAUGGCAUCAUAGAAUGAUCAAAUAUUUAUAGGAACAAGAUGGGCAUGCGGAACAUUAGCUAGUUGGUAAGGUAACGGCUUACCAAGGCUACGAUGUUUAGGGGAUCUGAGAGGAUGACCCCCCACACUGGUACUGAGACACGGACCAGACUCCUACGGGAGGCAGCAGUAAGGAAUAUUGGUCAAUGGACGCAAGUCUGAACCAGCCAUGCCGCGUGCAGGAAGACGGCCCUACGGGUUGUAAACUGCUUUUGUACCGGAAUAAACCUUUUCACGUGUGAGAAGCUGAAUGUACGGUAAGAAUAAGGAUCGGCUAACUCCGUGCCAGCAGCCGCGGUAAUACGGAGGAUCCAAGCGUUAUCCGGAUUUAUUGGGUUUAAAGGGUGCGUAGGUGGCCUAUUAAGUCAGGGGUGAAAGACGGUAGCUUAACUAUCGCAGUGCCUUUGAUACUGAUGGGCUUGAAUACACUUGAGGUAGGCGGAAUGUGACAAGUAGCGGUGAAAUGCAUAGAUAUGUCACAGAACACCAAUUGCGAAGGCAGCUUACUAAAGUGUUAUUGACACUGAGGCACGAAAGCGUGGGGAUCAAACAGGAUUAGAUACCCUGGUAGUCCACGCCCUAAACGAUGAAUACUCGAUGUUGGCGAUAUACGGUCAGCGUCUAAGCGAAAGCGUUAAGUAUUCCACCUGGGGAGUACGCCCGCAAGGGUGAAACUCAAAGGAAUUGACGGGGGCCCGCACAAGCGGA
RNAcentral lists this ribosomal RNA (879 nucleotides) under uncultured bacterium. Its description in RNAcentral is "bacterial SSU rRNA". It matches the Rfam family "Bacterial small subunit ribosomal RNA", at positions 53 to 933 of the family's 1533-position model. The record is from RNAcentral.